UGAUGGCGUAGGGAGGGAAUGUAGGAGGACGUAAGAGAGGCAGGGAAUGGGGACGGAGGGAGGAGGGCGGGACAGAGUGGAGGGAAGGCAGGAGUACCAGCCCUUCCUCCAAUUCCUCUUCCUUCUAACCUUAAAGUCAGUCAGCCAAUCCUUCUAUCUGUUGAGAUUCUUACUUUUCAAAGCAUUUCCCGUUUAUUUUUAAUGAUAUUUGAAUGACCUUCUCAGGCUUGACGAGAAUUGAUGUUUGCGUCUGUUUCAUGGUUCAAUAUAUACUUUCGUAUAUAUUUCGUCGUGGUGGAAGAGUUGGUAGCCCUGCACAUGUCCAUCCGAGAAUUACGUCACAGGUGGGCACAAGCCGCAGUCAUUCGCCGGCGCCUCCCUGCAGUCUCAGGUAGCAGCGGCGAUGCGUAGUGCUGUUGCUUUGUACUGAGUGAGCGUGAAAGAACCCUCGUGACGAUAUAUGGUGAUGGACGUGUGGGCCUUUACGUUGUGGAAAUAGAAGUUGAGGGACGGGGAACACUUAAUGGGUGGUUGACCAUCAUCAGGACCGCCAUUCCACCACAUUCAUGGCCACCCUACCCGCGCUCAUCCAGUCACGUCCCCAUAGUGCAGCGCCCCUCAUCUGUAUGUAUGCUGAAGAGACACGGAAAAAUUAACACUCGUAUCUCUGUGAAAUAUUGUGCGCCAUAAAGUCUCUUGUCCUCUA
Molecule: long non-coding RNA, 706 nt
Organism: Scylla paramamosain (green mud crab)
Lineage: Eukaryota; Metazoa; Arthropoda; Malacostraca; Decapoda; Portunidae
Exons: 2
Source: RefSeq, a predicted model, not a curated record